GUGCACGCUGGCGGCAGGCCUAACACAUGCCAGUCGCGCGGCAGCGCGGGGGCAACCCUGGCGGCGAGCGGCGGACGGGUGAGGAAUUCGUCGGAAUCUGCCUUUUUGUGGGGGAUAACGUAGGGAAACUUACGCUAAUACCGCAUACGUCCUACGGGAGAAAGUGGGGGACCGCAAGGCCUCACGCAGAAAGAUGAGCCGACGACCGAUUAGCUAGUUGGUGGGGUAAAGGCCCACCAAGGCGACGAUCGGUAGCUGGUCUGAGAGGAUGAUCAGCCACACUGGGACUGAGACACGGCCCAGACUCCUACGGGAGGCAGCAGUGGGGAAUAUUGGACAAUGGGCGCAAGCCUGAUCCAGCCAUGCCGCGUGUGUGAAGAAGGCCUUCGGGUUGUAAAGCACUUUUGUCCGGAAAGAAAUCCCUGGAGCUAAUACCUUCGGGGGAUGACGGUACCGGAAGAAUAAGCACCGGCUAACUUCGUG
Molecule: ribosomal RNA, 483 nt
Filed under: uncultured bacterium
Lineage: Bacteria
Description: partial 16S ribosomal RNA
Rfam family: Bacterial small subunit ribosomal RNA
Source: RNAcentral